UUAAAUUGAAGAGUUUGAUCAUGGCUCAGAUUGAACGCUGGCGGCAGGCCUAACACAUGCAAGUCGAACGGUAACAGGAAACAGCUUGCUGUUUCGCUGACGAGUGGCGGACGGGUGAGUAAUGUCUGGGAAACUGCCUGAUGGAGGGGGAUAACUACUGGAAACGGUAGCUAAUACCGCAUAACGUCGCAAGACCAAAGAGGGGGACCUUCGGGCCUCUUGCCAUCGGAUGUGCCCAGAUGGGAUUAGCUUGUUGGUGGGGUAACGGCUCACCAAGGCGACGAUCCCUAGCUGGUCUGAGAGGAUGACCAGCCACACUGGAACUGAGACACGGUCCAGACUCCUACGGGAGGCAGCAGUGGGGAAUAUUGCACAAUGGGCGCAAGCCUGAUGCAGCCAUGCCGCGUGUAUGAAGAAGGCCUUCGG
Molecule: ribosomal RNA, 426 nt
Filed under: Escherichia coli
Lineage: Bacteria; Pseudomonadati; Pseudomonadota; Gammaproteobacteria; Enterobacterales; Enterobacteriaceae
Description: bacterial SSU rRNA
Rfam family: Bacterial small subunit ribosomal RNA
Source: RNAcentral